This 253-nucleotide ribosomal RNA is filed under the name uncultured bacterium. Its description in RNAcentral is "partial 16S ribosomal RNA". It matches the Rfam family "Bacterial small subunit ribosomal RNA", at positions 524 to 776 of the family's 1533-position model. The record is from RNAcentral.
UACGUAGGGGGCAAGCGUUGUCCGGAUUUAUUGGGCGUAAAGAGCGUGUAGGCGGCCAUGUAGGUCAGCUGUGAAAACUCGAGGCUCAACCUCGAGACGUCGGUUGAAACCACCUGGCUAGAGUCCGGAAGAGGAGAGUGGAAUUCCUGGUGUAGCGGUGAAAUGCGCAGAUAUCAGGAGGAACACCGGUGGCGAAGGCGGAUCUCUGGGCCUGUCCUGACGCUGAGGCGCGAAAGCUAGGGGAGCGAACAGG